RNAcentral lists this ribosomal RNA (61 nucleotides) under Rhynchostoma proteae. Its description in RNAcentral is "partial large subunit ribosomal RNA". It matches the Rfam family "Eukaryotic large subunit ribosomal RNA", at positions 1 to 58 of the family's 3401-position model. The record is from RNAcentral. Lineage: Eukaryota; Fungi; Ascomycota; Eurotiomycetes; Pyrenulales; Rhynchostomataceae.
AUUGACCUCGGAUCAGGUAGGAUUACCCGCUGAACUUAAGCAUAUCAAUAAAGCGGAGGAA